GGGGAGUACGGUCGCAAGAUUAAAACUCAAAGGAAUAGACGGGGACCCGCACAAGUGGUGGAGCAUGUGGUUUAAUUCGAAGAUACGCGAAGAACCUUACCUAGCCUUGACAUAUAUUAGAAUCUUUCAGAGAUGAGAGAGUGCCUUCGGGAGCUUUUAUACAGGUGCUGCACGGCUGUCGUCAGCUCGUGUCGUGAGAUGUUGGGUUAAGUCCCGCAACGAGCGCAACCCUCGUCACUAGUUACUAACGGUUCGGCCGAGGACUCUAGUGAGACUGCCUUCGCAAGGAGGAGGAAGGUGAGGACGACGUCAAGUCAUCAUGGCCCUUACGGCUAGGGCAACACACGUGCUACAAUGGCCAGGACAGUGAGACGCGAUACCGCGAGGUGGAGCAAAUCUAUAAACCUGGUCUCAGUUCGGAUUGUAGUCUGCAACUCGACUACAUGAAGCUGGAAUCACUAGUAAUCGUAGAUCAGCUAUGCUACGGUGAAUACGUUCCCGGGUCUUGUACUCACCGCCCGUCACACCAUGGGAGUUGAUUUCACCCGAAGCGGGGAAGCUAAACUGGCUACCCUCCACGGUGGAAUUAGCGACUGGGGUGAAGUCGUAACAAGGUA
RNAcentral lists this ribosomal RNA (617 nucleotides) under uncultured bacterium. Its description in RNAcentral is "bacterial SSU rRNA". It matches the Rfam family "Bacterial small subunit ribosomal RNA", at positions 875 to 1498 of the family's 1533-position model. The record is from RNAcentral.